RNAcentral lists this ribosomal RNA (173 nucleotides) under uncultured bacterium. RNAcentral's name for it is "partial 16S ribosomal RNA". It matches the Rfam family "Bacterial small subunit ribosomal RNA", at positions 335 to 525 of the family's 1533-position model. The record is from RNAcentral.
ACUCCUACGGGAGGCAGCAGUGGGGAAUAUUGGACAAUGGGCGCAACCCUGAUCCAGCCAUGCCGCGUGUGUGAAGAAGGCCUUAGGGUUGUAAAACACUUUCAGCGGGGAAGAUGAUGACGGUACCCGCAGAAGAAGCCCCGGCUAACUCCGUGCCAGCAGCCGCGGUAAUA